This is a small nucleolar RNA of Eutrema salsugineum, 107 nucleotides long. It matches the Rfam family "Plant small nucleolar RNA R71". From Rfam's summary of the family: R71 is a member of the C/D box family of snoRNAs containing the C (UGAUGA) and D (CUGA) box motifs. Multiple nearly identical copies of this snoRNA have been identified in Arabidopsis, and it is thought to function as a 2'-O-ribose methylation guide for 18S ribosomal RNA. The record is from Rfam. Lineage: Eukaryota; Viridiplantae; Streptophyta; Magnoliopsida; Brassicales; Brassicaceae.
AAGCCGUGGUGUGGAAAUUGGUUACUGUGGCUUCUAAACCGCUCCCAAGCCUCAUCAAAGCUUUCACUGGUGUGUUGUGUGAAGCUUGAGAUCUGAUUUCUCAGCUU